Molecule: long non-coding RNA, 1606 nt
Filed under: Trifolium pratense (red clover)
Lineage: Eukaryota; Viridiplantae; Streptophyta; Magnoliopsida; Fabales; Fabaceae
Description: long non-coding RNA (TPRA_LNC005156)
Source: RNAcentral
UUAAUAUAUAGAGCAACCUUCCAUUUUCAUUCUCCUCCUUAGUUGCCUUCCAAAAAAAUGAAUGCAUUAAAAAAUGAUUGGGAGAGGAAUCCGACAAACAAAUAUAGGAUGGAUCAGUACCAAAAGAUAAUAUGAAAAAAACAUUAUAGAAUCUAAUAGGGGGGACAUCAUAGAGUUUUAUAAAAAAUGGGACAAAGAUGAUGAUCUUUUGAAGGAAAGACAAUCAAGAAAAAAUGAGAGAAGCUAAGCAUAUAUUAACCAAAAUAUAUUUGUUACCUAUCUUCCUAAAGAUGAUAGAUCCUAAGUAAUAGAUUAAGAGAAUCUGUUAAAUAAAACUGAGCUAGGAGACAUAGAGUAGAGAAAGAGAAGUACCGUCAAAUUUCAACAACAACUCGAGCUUAAAUAUAUCAUCUGCAAACAACCCAUGAAUCGUUUAAAUACAAAAAGAAAACCAAAGAAAGAGAUCCAGAAAAUCAAGAGUGAUACCUACACUUUGGGAGAACAUGAUUCAAAUUUGGUGAAUGAAACUUUUACCUCCUGAUGCGAGAAUGUGAAAAACAAAAUAAAAAGAGGAUUAGAAAAUUAGGGAUCCUAAAGUAAAUUGAAGAAAAUUAGGGAUUUCAAAAAUGAACAUACCUUAGAGGGAGGAGCUCAGUUUCAAUAUACAUGGAUAUUUUGGAGUUCAUCAAAUGAAGAAGUGUGUGUCUAUGGUGUUUAGAGAGAGAGAGAGAUGAGAGUUUGAAAUUUGAAAGUUGAGAAUUUGUUUUCAAUAUCCAUGGGUUGAGGUUUUGUUUGACUUGGGUUGAAAGUGACGGGACACUGUUCCUUUGCUUGCUGUCUGACCAGGUUUUGUCCAUAUCCAAUUUAAGUUUGUUUGUUCACCAAAAUAGGAUCCAAGGAUAACAAAAGAAGAGGGAAAUUCAAACUUUUGAAUUUUACUUCCAACUCAAGCAACCAAGUUGGACCACUAAGUUAAAAAGGGUAAAAAUCUCUUAUUUGAAUUGGCAAAGACCUAUAAAAAUCUCUUAUUUGAAUUGGCAAAGACAUAUAAUAAAAUUUGCUUAAAUUUGCUACUCCCAAAUUUCACUUCAACAUGGAUAUACACUUUGACAAUAGAUAUGAUCCUGAAAAAAAUAAAAAGGUUUUUUUCUCAUAAGAUAUCAAAGCCUUUCCAAUCAAUAACAUAUCAAAGUCUUUAUAAUAAUAACAAUAGUAUAUUUUAUGAGGAAUGUAUAAUAUUUUACUCACAAUAAUAUAUGUGCUCAAAGGAAACAUGUUAAUUUUGCUCCAUCAUCUUCUUAGUUACCAUCCUUUGAACUCAACCUGCAAUAUUAUACAGUGAGGGUGUCAAAAAAUAGCACUUAAUUUUGUAACACGGUAAUAUGAGGAAGACAAAUAAGCAAAAUUUCCCUAACAUGAGUUUGCAUUUGUAUAUUAUUAAGAUUGGAUAAAAGAAAACAUAUACAUACUUCAGUCAACUAUAUACAAAACAGAGCAAAGUGAUCUUUAAACUAUGAGAAUCUACUUUUUUAAAACUUUAGACCAUUACAAACUGAGCUAUAUACUAUUUAGAUUGUCAUGAAGCAUGAUAUAAUAUAUCUAAUAG